RNAcentral lists this unclassified non-coding RNA (2452 nucleotides) under Leishmania donovani. RNAcentral's name for it is "gene:LdHU3.36.6340(CDS-product:Mitochondrial_N(5) -glutamine_methyltransferase_MTQ1_putative)". Lineage: Eukaryota; Euglenozoa; Kinetoplastea; Trypanosomatida; Trypanosomatidae. The record is from RNAcentral.
AGAGACAGUUUUCCCGUUUCACGGACAUUUGCGCUCUGUUCCCCACACACUGAUAUGCCCUUGUUCGCCCCUCUGGUCUUUGUCUGCAGUGUUGAGGAGUAGCGUGUCUGAGCCCCAAAAAACAACGCGCCCUUCUUGAGGAAGAACGAAAAAAAAAAGAACGUGGGCUCGCGUCGCUUUCCCUAGCUUGCCUUAGACGACCGCAUUUGACCCGCUCACACCAUCAUGACGACUCUUCUGACGUGCUCCUCUGAGCAGAGGGUUGCACCGCUGUCACUUGCAUCCAUGCGGUGCAGGAUGGCUGCGCUUCGCCGCGCCGCUUCUCAACCCAAUGCGCUCCUUUUGCGCGCCCCCCUUUUUCGGCCAACCUCGUCGCUGAUGAUGAGUGUGCGUUGCCGUUCGGACUCUGGUUUUGCGAAGAGCCGUCCGGUAAAGUACGUGUCAACUGAAGCGCCGGAACUGCGGCGUGGUGGCUCGAGCGCCGAGGCGGGGUCUUACAAGACGGUCAACGGCGUUCUCUCGGCAGACUACGUUGGAGGGCUGAGUAACGUCACCGCGGAGAAGUUCCGCGGCAUGCAGCCGGUCGGCACCUGGGAACGAGGCGAUGGCGACGGAGAGAGCGACGAGACCGCGAACGGCUCCGCGGAGGUCAUGGAGGUGGACUUCACCUCCGACGAGAAGCUCAGCAAGCUGGAGAAGCUCUACCGCGGCGCACACAAGGGCGACAAGAUUCUGUCCCCUCGUGAGCGCCAGCUCUUUUCCCGCAUGAUCUACGAAAAAUUCUAUAAGGUCGGAGUUCAGAGCGUCGUUGAUCCCGCGAUUUUAUACCAGGCGUCGCUUGAGGUGCAUUGGGUAGAGGAGUGGGCUGCUGGCCGCGCGCGCGCGGAGCGCUGGUCUGAAGAAGAAGCGCGACGCCAGGUGAAGCGGUCGCUCCUCGAGCGCGUCGAUCUCCACAAGCCGCUCUCAUACAUUAUCGGCUCGCAGCCGUUCUUCGGGUGCGAUAUCCACUGCGAGGCGCCGCUUCUGUGCCCUCGGCCCGAGACGGAGAUGUGGACGCAUUGGAUGGUGUACAAGCACCUGGCACGCGCGGAGCGCCGCACCUUUACCACCGGCUUCUCCCCUGCUGUGUCGCCGAUCAGAAUUCUCGACGUUUGCUGCGGCACGGGCUGCAUCGGGGUGGCGCUGGCGAAGCACCUGCCAAGCGCCGUCGUCACUGCCCUCGACAUUCUUCCAGAGGCAGUACGGGUAUCCAGAGAGAACGCGAUGCGCAACGGAAUUUCACCUGCGCGGUACUCGGCGAUGGAGAGCGACAUGUUCAGCUGCUUCCUCGAGGGGCAGGUGUCCGGGCAACCGGGUGACAGCGCCGACCUGAGCGAGGACCGCCCGUUUGGCACCGUGAAGGACGCAUAUGCUGGCACCUAUGACGUAAUCGUGUCCAACCCACCGUACGUGCUACCGGAGCAGUACGUCGGUCUGCCUUGCACCAUCACUCAUUGGGAGUCCAAGACGGCCCUCGUCGGUGAUGACUACCGCGAAUCCCGGCAGUACUUGUACUUCAAGGAGCUCUGUGUGCAUGGGGCCAAGCUGCUGAAACCGCGUGCUCGGCGCAACGAUAUGCUUCGCGAUGCGCCGAACAUUGCGAUCGAGGUCGGCCUGCAGGCGCACAUGGUGGCGGACCUGAUGGAAAAGAGCAAACUCUGGCGAGAUGUCGAAGUUCAUUUAGAUUAUGCCCAGCAGGAGCGCUGGAUUACGGCGAACUCGUCACACUGAAAAGAGCCCACAGCUCAUUCGCCACCUGUGCGAGCGAGUUCUCUGGGAUAAUCUUCGGCAGAUAUCAGAGGACUCCUUUGCACUGAGGUGUGCUUGUUUGCUUCGACUUCUCAGUCAUCGCCGCUGGCGGCGAAGAGACUUGGAGGCAGAGCACAAAAAACGCACGCGCGUCUCCUCGCCGUCGUUGUAUACAAGGGAGAAGAUGAAAACAACAGCACACACAAAAGAAAACUGCUGCUAAAAGCAUGACGGCUAGUCGCAUUUUUUUUUUCGGUGCGCUCGUUGGUUGGGUGGUGGGUCGGGUGCACUUGCGUAAUGCGUGUGUGCCCCCCUUCCCCCUCCUCCUCUUCUCCCCCUCCCCAGCGUGGACGACUGGAGUUUUCGUUGAUGGGUUCAUCUUCAGUGAGAGGCCUGUUUGAUCAUUCCCUUCCCUCUACUGGCCUUCUGAGCAACCCACUCAUACCCUUCCGAUGCCGAGCACGUACAUACACCCCACAGAGCCCAAAGCGAGAUUCGCUCAAGCAGCAGCGCUGUGGUUGUUGUUCGUACUCUCACAUUGAGACGGGCGCACGUCGCUUGCCGUGUGCACAAGCGUGCCGGCGAUUCUCUCUCUGCCCCCUCUCUUGUUCUUUUUUCUUCUCGCAUCUCGUGCCUCUCGCUUCUCUCUAUCACGUCUUGACAG